Molecule: non-coding RNA, 148 nt
Filed under: Gorilla gorilla gorilla (western lowland gorilla)
Lineage: Eukaryota; Metazoa; Chordata; Mammalia; Primates; Hominidae
Source: Rfam by way of RNAcentral
GCCAGGUGUGGUGGCAUACACCUGUAAUCCCAGCUACUCGGGAGGCUGAGGCAGGGGAAUCUCUUGAACCCAGGAGGUGGAGGUUGCAGUGAACUGAGAUCGCGCCACUGCACUCCCGCCUGGGUGACAGAGUGAUACUCCGUCUCAA